Molecule: ribosomal RNA, 373 nt
Filed under: uncultured bacterium
Lineage: Bacteria
Description: bacterial SSU rRNA
Rfam family: Bacterial small subunit ribosomal RNA
Source: RNAcentral
UAAUACGGAGGGUGCAAGCGUUGUCCGGAUUCAUUGGGUUUAAAGGGUGCGUAGGCGGGCAUAUAAGUCAGUGGUGAAAGGCCAGGGCUCAACUCUGGAUGUGCCAUUGAUACUGUAAGUCUUGAGAGCAGAUGAGGUAGCUGGAAUGUGUAGUGUAGCGGUGAAAUGCAUAGAGAUUACACAGAACACCGAUUGCGAAGGCAGGUUACUAGUCUGUAUCUGACGCUGAGGCACGAAAGUGUGGGGAGCGAACAGGAUUAGAUACCCUGGUAGUCCACACUGUAAACGAUGGAUACUAGAUGUUCGGGGGCAACCCUGAGUGUCCAAGCGAAAGCGAUAAGUAUCCCACCUGGGGAGUACGACCGCAAGGUUG